AUUGAACGCUGGCGGCAUGCCUUACACAUGCAAGUCGAACGGCAGCACGGGUGCUUGCACCUGGUGGCGAGUGGCGAACGGGUGAGUAAUACAUCGGAACAUGUCCUGUAGUGGGGGAUAGCCCGGCGAAAGCCGGAUUAAUACCGCAUACGAUCUACGGAUGACAGCGGGGGACCUUCGGGCCUCGCGCUAUAGGGUUGGCCGAUGGCUGAUUAGCUAGUUGGGGGGGUAAAGGCCUACCAAGGCGACGAUCAGUAGCUGGUCUGAGAGGGGGACCAGCCACACUGGGACUGAGACACGGCCCAGACUCCUACGGGAGGCAGCAGUGGGGAAUUUUGGACAAUGGGCGAAAGCCUGAUCCAGCAAUGCCGCGUGUGUGAAGAAGGCCUUCGGUUUGUAAAGCACUUUUGUCCGGAAAGAAAUCCUUGGCCCUAAUACGGUCGGGGGAUGACGGUACCGGAAGAAUAAGCACCGGCUAACUACGUG
RNAcentral lists this ribosomal RNA (486 nucleotides) under uncultured bacterium. RNAcentral describes it as "partial 16S ribosomal RNA". It matches the Rfam family "Bacterial small subunit ribosomal RNA", at positions 30 to 507 of the family's 1533-position model. The record is from RNAcentral.